RNAcentral lists this ribosomal RNA (281 nucleotides) under uncultured bacterium. Its description in RNAcentral is "partial 16S ribosomal RNA". It matches the Rfam family "Bacterial small subunit ribosomal RNA", at positions 505 to 784 of the family's 1533-position model. The record is from RNAcentral.
GUGCCAGCCGCCGCGGUAAUACAUAGGGGUCAAGCGUUGUCCGGAUUUAUUGGGCGUAAAGAGCUCGUAGGCGGUUCAACAAGUCGGUCGUAAAAGUUUAGGGCUCAACCCUAAAAUGUCGAUCGAUACUGUUGUGACUAGGAUGCGGUAGAGGUGAAUGGAAUUCCGAGUAUAGUGGUGAAAUGCGUAGAUAUUCGGAGGAACACCAAUUGCGAAGGCAGCUCACUGGGCCGCUAUCGACGCUGAGGAGCGAAAGCUAGGGGAGCAAACAGGAUUAGAUA